CACAGAAACCAGAAAUUAACAACAGAAAGGCUACAUCUAGCAGAAAUUCUCCACUGUAGGAGCUGAAAAACCACAGUGAAGUACUUCUGGAUUAUCAAAGAAGCCUUCAUCUGAUGAACCAUAAAAAGUAUCAUCCUUAUUAUGCACAGAAUCAUCGAUGUUUAACAUGCGCUCACCAUCACAGAAAAAUCUGAUGACUUUCCUCCAGUAUGCUUCACCUUCAUCAGGAUCCUAUUUUUCACGCUGACUGCGUGGCUGAAAGCUGUUGUGCAGUUAUUUGAACUUUUGCCAUCUCUCAGAAUGGCAAACGUCAGAGGCAGCCACCAAGCAUAGCAGAGUGGAACCACAAACUAUCACCAGAACAAGGAUGGAACACAGGCUACAUUCACUGUAUCACAACCAAACCAGAGUGCCUGAGUUGUGAUACUUAUCCAUGCAUAUGCUCUUUUGUCAUCAUAAAUAUAAACAUUAUCUUAAAUCAUUAGUGAAUGUUUUAGUAUAAAUCAAAGUCAUGAAACAGUCAAUUUAGAUUUUCCUCAAAUUUUGAACACUUGGGCAACCUACUGUAUCUCAGCUAAAGAACAAUGAUUUGCAAACAAAAAAUAACUUCUCAUGCACUCAAUUACUUGCAUCUUUAUUAAAAUAUUCACAGGAACUUGUAUGAGAGACAGCCUCCAACAGGGUCUUAAGCACUUCCACUAAGGUGGUUCUUUAGCCUCAGCAGGAUUCCCUCUCCAAUGCUUGCCCUUCUCACUAAGCAUCUCCUUGUGCUCAGCUGAGUCCUUCUUUACUACAAAGUCAUUUCUCUUGUCCUUCACUCCACUGAACGUGGAAAACAACUAAAGGUUGUUCUUUUUGACAAGUGUGUAUGCACAGUCUUCUUUCUGUCCUUUUUUUUUUUUUUAAUAGAACAACCUUGUUUUUUUCUAAGUGUUGUUUUUUCUUUCUUUAAAAAAGUAAAUAUAAGAUUGGUCUGUUUAAUCAUCUCUGGACUAAUUUCAAUUGGUCACAUUCAUCCUAAAUUACAGCAUCUAAAGCAGAUGACAUAUUUCAGUCCACAAGAGUAGUAUGAAUAACAGCAUGAAAAUACCUUAACAUUGUUACCUAUAUUCCCUAAUAUAAAGAGGGAAAGUGAUGUAGGGAGCAAGCUUUAAAGCAAUAGCAUAAUAGCUAAAACAUGUGACAGCUCUGUUGCAGAAUACAUUUUUACUAACUGUAAUUUUGCUACUACAAACUCACAAAUGGUAUUUUGAUACAAGUCACAAAUCAUGUAUUCUUUCUAUAUACCAGCAGAAUAAAUAUAUAUAUAUAUAUUUUUUUUUUCAGUGUCUCUAAAAACACUGCUUCUUCCCAAAGAGGCGAUACCGCUAGUUUUUAAAAAUUCAGAAAUACCUGAAAAGUCGAUUUAAUGUAAUUCCAAAGAAUAAAAGCCUACUGCAGCGUAAAGCAAAUUAUGAUGAGA
Oxyura jamaicensis (ruddy duck) is the source of this 1462-nucleotide long non-coding RNA. RefSeq lists it as uncharacterized. The record is from RefSeq and is a predicted model, not a curated record. The transcript has 4 exons. Lineage: Eukaryota; Metazoa; Chordata; Aves; Anseriformes; Anatidae.